Molecule: unclassified non-coding RNA, 405 nt
Filed under: uncultured fungus
Lineage: Eukaryota; Fungi
Description: partial contains small subunit ribosomal RNA, internal transcribed spacer 1, and 5.8S ribosomal RNA
Rfam family: Eukaryotic small subunit ribosomal RNA (bases 1-73)
Source: RNAcentral
ACAAACUUGGUCAUUUAGAGGAAGUAAAAGUCGUAACAAGGUUUCCGUAGGUGAACCUGCGGAAGGAUCAUUAUUGAAUAUUCAUGAUGGGUUGUAGCUGGCUCUUAGGAGCAUGUGCACACUUGUCUUGACUCUAUUCAUCCACCUGUGCACCUUUUGUAGUCUUGGGAGUAGAGAGCAGUCAACUAUCGGAUGGCUUAAUAGUCAUUUCGGAUGUGAGUAAUGCUGAGUGUGAAAGCAUACAGCUUUUCUCAAAGUGACUUGCAAACCUCUCUUUCAAGUCUAUGUAUUCAUAUACCACAUAGUAUGUUGUAGAAUGUGAUCAAUGGGCCUUUGUGCCUAUAAUAAUCAUAUACAACUUUCAGCAACGGAUCUCUUGGCUCUCGCAUCGAUGAAGAACGCAGC